AUCACAGCCAUAUGUUUAUUAAUACAAUACACGUGGGGGCUUUUUUGACUAACUUCCUUGCUAAUAUAACAUCGGAAUGCGGUUCCUUCAGAUCUCCAAACCCAGAAUGUUGUUGCUAAAAUGAGAGUAAUUAAUUAUAGUUAAAAUUAAAAUUCAACAAUUAAUAAGAAUAAAUGAGUGCGUGCGGUAUAAGUAUAUAUUUUCUUCCGCAUGCCGUCCGUCCUCCUUCAUAUCCACCACAACCGAGUGUGAGAGAUGCAUCACAAAUGCAAUUUUGUUUUCCAAGUUUUUAUUAUUUGUAACCUGUGAUUAUUGUAUAAUUUUUAGUUAAUUAUAAAAGUUCCAUCGAAGUACA
Molecule: long non-coding RNA, 355 nt
Filed under: Citrus sinensis (sweet orange)
Lineage: Eukaryota; Viridiplantae; Streptophyta; Magnoliopsida; Sapindales; Rutaceae
Description: long non-coding RNA (CSIN_LNC002393)
Source: RNAcentral